GAUGAACGCUGGCGGCGUGCCUAAUACAUGCAAGUCGAGCGAACAGACGAGGCGCUUGCUCCUCUGACGUUAGCGGCGGACGGGUGAGUAACACGUGGAUCACCUACCUAUAAGACUGGGAUAACUUCGGGACACUGGAGCUAAUCCCGGAUAAUAUAUUGAACCGCAUGGUUCGAUAGUGAAAGUCGGUUUUGCUGUCACUUAUAGAUGGAUCUCGGCCGCAUUAGCUAGUUGUUAGGGUAACGGCUUACUAAGGCAACGAUGCGUAGCCGACCUGAGAGGGGGAUCGGCCACACUGGAACGGAGACACGGUCCAGACUCCUACGGGAGGCAGCAGUAGGGAAUCUGCCGCAAUGGGCGAAAGCUUGACGGAGCAACGCCGCGUGUGUGAUGAAGGUCUUCGGAUCGUAAAACUCGGUUACUAGGUAAGAACAAAUGUGGAAGUAACUAUGCACGUCGUGACGGUACCUAAUCAGAAAGCCACGGCUAACUACGUG
RNAcentral lists this ribosomal RNA (497 nucleotides) under uncultured bacterium. RNAcentral describes it as "partial 16S ribosomal RNA". It matches the Rfam family "Bacterial small subunit ribosomal RNA", at positions 28 to 507 of the family's 1533-position model. The record is from RNAcentral.